RNAcentral lists this ribosomal RNA (165 nucleotides) under uncultured bacterium. RNAcentral's name for it is "partial 16S ribosomal RNA". It matches the Rfam family "Bacterial small subunit ribosomal RNA", at positions 355 to 511 of the family's 1533-position model. The record is from RNAcentral.
UAGGGAAUCUUCCACAAUGGACGAAAGUCUGAUGGAGCAACGCCGCGUGAGUGAAGAAGGGUUUCGGCUCGUAAAACCUCUGUUGAUAAAGAAGAACAUAUCUGAGAGUAACUGUUCAGGUAUUGACGGUAUUUAACCAGAAAGCCACGGCUAACUACGUGCCAG